AUCAACUCCCGAAAGAAAGCAGUGACUCCAGGGCCAAGCCGUAAGUUUAACCGAGUGUUUCCCAACUCCAAACCCACACAAUUCUCUGUCAUGAGCAACUCAUGUUCUGUAAUACUCUCUACAUAAAUAGAAACUGGAGAUAGGAGAGUCAAAGGACCCGUACUCCAUGGCAUCAUCUCUUCUCACUCUAAAACCCACUACUCACCCUAUCUAUCACCACACACAUACACAAUCCUCAAACAUUUUCAUCCCCACAACCAACACCAAGUUUCAGUCUCCAUCAACAAUCCUAAGUACCAAACACAACUGUUUCCUCAGUUCAAAGUUGGUUGCUUUAAGCUACUCAUCCAAUCAGAGCACACAAAGAAACGAGGACAAGGAAGAAAAUGAUGUUGAGUUUGUAACUGUCUUAAAGAAUUGGCUGGGUUGUGUGCAAUCAGCAUUGCCUGGUGGAAGCUGGUGGAAUUUGAAUGAAUUUAAGCAAGUUGAGAGUAUUGGUUCUACAACUAAGGAGAUUACUGUCUGGGAUUUUUUACGAAGAAUGUGGGGAUUGGUGGUAGAUGAUAAGUGGAUUGUGUUUACUGCAUUUGGUUCUCUAGUUAUUGCUGCGCUUUUGGAAAUCUCAAUACCAAAUCUAUUGGCAACAUCCAUCUUCUCAGCUGAGAGCGGUAAAGCCUCCGUCUUCUUAAAAAAUGCACAUCUCUUGGCUUUGUUGUGUAUCGCUUCAGGAGUAUUCAGUGGCUUGCGAAGUGGCUGCUUUGCAACUGUGAACAUGAACCUGCUCAGGCGUCUAAGGGAAGCUUUAUACUCAACUCUUGUAUUUCAGGAUAUAUUAUUCUUCGACAAAGAAACAGUUGGUAGUUUGACAAGCAGGCUUGGGCCAGAUUGUCAACGGUUGUCUCAUGUAAUUGGAAAUGAUGUACACAUGAUUUUACGCUAUUCUAUCCAGGGCAUGGGUGCAUUGACCAAUCUCUUGAUCCUAUCCUGGCCUCUUGCAUUGUCGGCUUUGAUGAUAUGUUCUUUUCUAUCUGCAAUCUUUUUGAUUUAUGGACAGUACAGAAAGGAAGCAGCUAAGGUUACUCAAGAUUUCACUGCUAGCUCUAACGAGGUUUCACAUGAAACAAUUUCUUUGAUAAGAACUGUUCGUGCAUUUGGAAUGGAAAGACACGAGAUUGGAAGAUACAAACUGUGGCUGGACAGACUAGCUUCUAUAAGCUUGCGAGAAAGUGCUGCUGACGGAAUUUGGAAUUUAAGUUUUAACUCUCUUUAUCGCUUUACACAGGUUUUGGCUAUCCUAUUAGGAGGAUUGUCCAUUAUGACUGGUCAUGCUACUCCUGAGCAACUCACAAAAUAUGUAUUGUACUGUGAGUGGUUGGUUUAUGCAGCUUGGAGGGUACAAAACAAUAUAUCUUCAUUGUUGCAGUCUACUGGGGCAAGUGAAAAAGUAUUUCAGCUUAUUGAUCUCUUGCCUAGUAACCAGUUUCUUGCAAAAGGAAAAGUUCGUCUCAAUAUUUCGGGGAAUACUUUGGAUCUUGCAGAACAGCGCCGUAUAAAUUCUCUCACUUAUUUCACCCUCUCAGGAUUAAAAUUGAAGAAGCUGAUGGGACAUAUCGAGUUUGUGAACGUGUCCUUCUACUAUCCUUCAAAGGUACACCCAGUUCUAGAACAUGUAAACAUAUAUGUACAUCCUAAUGAAGUACUUGCGAUCGUGGGUCUAAGUGGUAGUGGGAAAAGCACAUUAGUCAAUCUCUUGCUUCGUCUCUACGAGCCAUCUGCAGGUCAGAUUUUGAUCGAUAACAUACCUCUUAAGGGAUUGGAUGUCAGGUGGCUGAGAGAAAAUAUUGGUUAUGUUGGGCAGGAACCUCAUCUUUUUCAUAUGGAUAUCAAGGGAAACAUAAUGUAUGGAUGCUCCAAAGAUAUAAAGCGUGAAGAUGUAGAACGGGCAGCAAAGAAGGCCUUUGCUCAUGAAUUCAUCUCAUCCCUUCCAAACGGUUAUGGAACCAUUGUUGACGAUGAGCUUCUUAGCGGUGGUCAGAAACAGAGAAUUGCCAUUGCAAGGGCCAUUGUUAGAGAACCUGCUAUUCUAGUUCUUGAUGAAGCUACCAGUGCUCUGGAUGCAGAAAGUGAAUACCAUAUUAAGGGAAUUCUCCAAGGUCUAAGAAAUGACACAAAAUCAAUGAGAACAACGAUUAUCAUUGCCCAUCGGUUGUCCACCAUAAGAGCAGCCAACAGAAUUGUUGUCAUGGAUGGCGGUCGAGUAGUUGAGGUUACUCUUUCUACUUUUAGAUAUCGCUCUAACCCUGACCAAAACAUAGGACAAAGCAUCGUCUGAUGGGAGACCACUUGGAGCUUAUGCGCCGGAAUGGACUGUACACAAGGUUAUAUGAAUUACAGAGAGAUGCCUUGGCUGUCUAGGUGUCUGGAGGAUGAAGAAGAGUCAUGUACAUGGCUACGUGCAACACAAUUCGGGAUGCCACGUGGUGCCUUCGCAUGAGUUGUGCUGGACUACCUUAGUAUAGUAUACCUCGGCAAGCUUGUCUCUAUUCAGAGAAACGGCCCACUAACAGAAGAAACAGAGAGCUGAUCACAGAUCCAGAGAUGAUAUGAUGAUAUAAGGCUUCUAAAUUUAGGUAGGUGGUUGAUUAGUGAUAGGACUGAUAGUUUUUUUUCUUGUCAGAUAUAUAUGAUUGAUAGUUGUUAGCGGGUGUGUGAAACCAUAGAAAUCAGCAAGAGUUAAAUUCUAAUCGAAAUUCACCUUAUUUCUUAAGAUGAAUUUAUUUUUAUAACAAAUAAACAGAGAGAUUGUGAUA
Daucus carota subsp. sativus is the source of this 2810-nucleotide RNA transcript. It is a transcript of the gene named ABC transporter B family member 26, chloroplastic, with no coding region annotated. The transcript has 19 exons. The record is from RefSeq and is a predicted model, not a curated record. NCBI's taxonomy places the organism in Eukaryota, Viridiplantae, Streptophyta, Magnoliopsida, Apiales, Apiaceae.